RNAcentral lists this ribosomal RNA (460 nucleotides) under uncultured bacterium. RNAcentral's name for it is "partial 16S ribosomal RNA". It matches the Rfam family "Bacterial small subunit ribosomal RNA", at positions 338 to 795 of the family's 1533-position model. The record is from RNAcentral.
CCUACGGGAGGCAGCAGUGAGGAAUAUUGGUCAAUGGGCGCGAGCCUGAACCAGCCAAGUCGCGUGAGGGAGGACGGCCCUACGGGUUGUAAACCUCUUUUGCCGGGGAGCAAAGGGCGUCACGUGUGGCGCCACUGAGUGUCCCCGGAGAAAAAGCAUCGGCUAACUCCGUACCAGCAGACGCGGUAAUUCGGAGGAUGCGAGCGUUCUCCGGAUUUAGUGGGUUUAAAGGGUGCGUAGGCGGAUCGUUUAGUCAGUGGGCAUAUUGAGGGGCUCAACCCCUUCCCGCCAUUGAUACUGGCGCUCUUGAGUGGAAGAGAAGUAUGCGGAAUGCGUGGUGUAGCGGUGAAAUGCAUAGAUAUCACGCAGAACCCCGAUUGCGAAGGCAGCAUGCGGGCUUCCGACUGACGCUGAAGCACGAAAGCGUGGGGAUCGAACAGGAUUAGAUACCCGGGUAGUC